Molecule: ribosomal RNA, 632 nt
Filed under: Globigerinella siphonifera
Lineage: Eukaryota; Foraminifera; Rotaliida; Globigerinidae
Description: bacterial SSU rRNA
Rfam family: Eukaryotic small subunit ribosomal RNA
Source: RNAcentral
UAUAUCAUUUACAUUCUUAACUGAGUGUAUCUAAGAUAAUAGAGUUCGCUUUCUAUUGGUGACGGGAUCUCCUCAUUCGUGGAGUGAUCUAAUCCUCUAGGGAAAACUCGGGCGACCGCUGUAAUACUUUCUUUUUAAAACAGAGGAAGAUUGCGGCAAUAACAGGUCUGUGAUGCCCUCAGAUGUCCCGGGCCGCACACGUGCUACAUUGAUUAGCGCAGUGCGCAUACUUUCAAUAUGAUACAUUGGUUUUGGUAGUAAGCUAUUCAUCUGAUGGAUAUGCUACUCUCCAUACCAAUACUAUCUAGUCUGAAAAGACUGGGUAAUCUAUUGUAAGUGCUGGUUCCUCUUCCCGUUGAGCAUUUUAAUAAUGGUCUCUCUACGUCCCUAGUAUAUUCUAGUGCGAUUGUAGUUGAGUCUGCCAUUUAUGCAAGUGUCAAUUCUCAGUGGGGACAGACAUUUGAUAAUUCUUUGUCUCGUUCUUAACUAGGAAUGCCUUGUACGGGUCUUGGUUCAACAGACCACCCGGAAUACGUCCCUGCCCUUUGUACACACCGCCCGUCGCUCUUACCGAUGAAUUUCACUGUGAGUUCAAUGGACCGAUUUUUUCCCUUUGGAAAUUUGGUCAAACA